This 484-nucleotide ribosomal RNA is filed under the name uncultured bacterium. RNAcentral's name for it is "partial 16S ribosomal RNA". It matches the Rfam family "Bacterial small subunit ribosomal RNA", at positions 30 to 507 of the family's 1533-position model. The record is from RNAcentral.
AUUGAACGCUGGCGGCAGGCCUAACACAUGCAAGUCGAGCGGAUGAAGGGAGCUUGCUCCUGGAUUCAGCGGCGGACGGGUGAGUAAUGCCUAGGAAUCUGCCUGGUAGUGGGGGAUAACGUCCGGAAACGGGCGCUAAUACCGCAUACGUCCUGAGGGAGAAAGUGGGGGAUCUUCGGACCUCACGCUAUCAGAUGAGCCUAGGUCGGAUUAGCUAGUUGGUGGGGUAAAGGCCUACCAAGGCGACGAUCCGUAACUGGUCUGAGAGGAUGAUCAGUCACACUGGAACUGAGACACGGUCCAGACUCCUACGGGAGGCAGCAGUGGGGAAUAUUGGAAAAUGGGCGAAAGCCUGAUCCAGCCAUGCCGCGUGUGUGAAGAAGGUCUUCGGAUUGUAAAGCACUUUAAGUUGGGAGGAAGGGCAGUAAGUUAAUACCUUGCUGUUUUGACGUUACCAACAGAAUAAGCACCGGCUAACUUCGUG